This 430-nucleotide unclassified non-coding RNA is filed under the name soil metagenome. Its description in RNAcentral is "partial contains 5.8S ribosomal RNA, internal transcribed spacer 2, and large subunit ribosomal RNA". The stretch from base 1 to 120 matches the Rfam family "5.8S ribosomal RNA", at positions 35 to 154 of the family's 154-position model. The record is from RNAcentral.
GAUGAAGAACGUAGCGAAAUGCGAUACGUAAUGUGAAUUGCAGAAUUCAGUGAAUCAUCGAAUCUUUGAACGCAUAUUGCGCUCUCUGGUAUUCCGGAGAGCAUGCUUGUUUGAGUAUCAGUAAACACCUCAACUCCCUUUUCUUUUCUGAAAUUGGAGCUGGACUUGAGUGAUCCCAACGCUUUCUUCCAAGAAAGUGGCGGGUUGCUUGAAAUGCAGGUGCAGCUGAACUUUUCUCUGAGCUAUAAGCAUAUCUAUUUAGUCUGCCUAAAAAACAGAUUAUUACCUUUGCUGCAGCUAACAUAAAGGAGACUAGUUCUUGUGCUGACUGAUGCAGGAUUCACAGAGACAGCUUCGGCUGACUUUGUAAACUCGAUCUCAAAUCAAGUAAGACUACCCGCUGAACUUAAGCAUAUCAAUAAGCGGAGGA